GAUGAACGCUGGCGGCGUGCUUAACACAUGCAAGUCGAACGGAAAGGCCCAAGCUUGCUUGGGUACUCGAGUGGCGAACGGGUGAGUAACACGUGGGUGAUCUGCCCUGCACUUCGGGAUAAGCCUGGGAAACUGGGUCUAAUACCGGAUAGGACCACAUUUUGGAUGGUGUGGUGGAAAGUUUUUCGGUGUGGGAUGAGCUCGCGGCCUAUCAGCUUGUUGGUGGGGUAAUGGCCUACCAAGGCGUCGACGGGUAGCCGGCCUGAGAGGGUGUACGGCCACAGUGGGACUGAGAGACGGCCCAGACGCCUACGGGAGGCAGAAGGGGGGAAGAUUGCACAAUGGGCGAAAGCCUGAUGCAGCGACGCCGCGUGGGGGAUGACGGCCUUCGGGUUGUAAAAUCCUUUCGAUAGGGACGAAGCGUUAUGUGACGGUACCUGGAGAAGAAGCACCGGCUAACUACGUG
This 466-nucleotide ribosomal RNA is filed under the name uncultured bacterium. Its description in RNAcentral is "partial 16S ribosomal RNA". It matches the Rfam family "Bacterial small subunit ribosomal RNA", at positions 28 to 507 of the family's 1533-position model. The record is from RNAcentral.